Molecule: transfer RNA, 65 nt
Filed under: Aleocharinae sp. 5 EF-2015
Lineage: Eukaryota; Metazoa; Arthropoda; Insecta; Coleoptera; Staphylinidae
Description: tRNA-Tyr
Rfam family: tRNA
About the family: Transfer RNA (tRNA) molecules are approximately 80 nucleotides in length.
Source: RNAcentral
GGUGAAAUGGCUGAGAAUAAGCGAUAAAUUGUAAGUUUAUUAACGAAUGUUGAAUUCUUUUACCA